RNAcentral lists this small nucleolar RNA (371 nucleotides) under Echeneis naucrates (live sharksucker). Its description in RNAcentral is "Small Cajal body-specific RNA 2 (ENSENLG00000007343.1)". It matches the Rfam family "Small Cajal body-specific RNA 2". The record is from Rfam by way of RNAcentral. Lineage: Eukaryota; Metazoa; Chordata; Actinopteri; Carangiformes; Echeneidae.
AUCCGCCAUAGUUUGAAUGGGUUGUGUCGAGAGAGAGUGCGUGAGUGUGUGGAGGUGAGUGCUUGUUGUCCGUUUGUUUCUGUGUGCGUAUGUGAAUGUGAAUGUCUGUGGAUUGGGUGUUUCGGUAAAAACCUACACAGUGAUCUUAUUUGAUCCGUCAGAGUUUGGCUCUGCUCUGAUCGGAAGUGAUAGGAAAAGCGCUCGCAAGCCCGUGAGGCGAUGAGCAGCAGGCAGUGAAACCUUCAGGGCCUCCACGGCUUCGUGUUGUGGUGAGAGGUGAUGAAUUGAUCAGAUAUACUAGCUCUGGUUGAACUUGGGAUCCGUCUCAAGUUCGACGACGAACAAUGAGUAAAGAGGCGAUUCUGAUCUGA